AAAUAUACAUAAAAAUUUAUAUACAAAUUUGAGAAUACAAAGAAAAAGAAAAAGAAUAAGUAACUCAUUAGUAAAUAAAAAAAGGGACACAUAAGGUAGGAAUGACAAAAGAGAGAAGAAGAGCGCCACCUAUUUCUUCACGGAGAUUCUAAAUGCUUAUAGAGCAGAAGAUGUGUAUAAUAUCAUUAAGGAAUAUAAGGAGGUAGAAGAAGUAGUUAUACCAACAAAAAAAAGAAGAUAAAUGUGGAAAAAGAUAUGAUUUUGUAAGAUUCUUCAACGUAGAAGAUGAAAGAAGUUUAGUUUAGUUUAGCAAUCAAACUGUAUAAAAUCAUCAUCGGGAGUUGGGAAGUCUAUGCUAAUAUUCCAAGGUUUCAAAUGAGUAAUCAUUAGGAGGAGGAACACAAAUUAAUAAGAAGAAGGCGAGCUUAUAAUAACCAAA
This 439-nucleotide long non-coding RNA is filed under the name Lathyrus oleraceus (garden pea). Its description in RNAcentral is "Pisum sativum (pea) long non-coding RNA (PSAT_LNC003513)". The record is from RNAcentral. Lineage: Eukaryota; Viridiplantae; Streptophyta; Magnoliopsida; Fabales; Fabaceae.